GAAAAGAAAACUUCCUAAAUUCUAUGCUCUCCUACAACCCCUAACAUUUACAUGCCUGGUUUCUGUGUCAUUUCUCGGCAGUUUUUAUGUCAAAUGUACUCGGAGUAUGGAAACUGUAGCUUUCGGUAGCCCAAUUCAAGCAUAUGUAUGAAAGACUAAUGUUAUUCUAUAGUGACCUAAGCUUUAUUGGGAAAAUGCACAAGUAACCCGCAAUUGAUAACUGAAAUUCCAAUUACACAUUUUUCUUUUGAAUUGUUACCCUCGUCAAAGGCCACAACCACAUAUAUGUUGAUUGCUGAAGCCACACGCCAUGUACAUUUCAGUAGGAAUAUUCUUUUAUCUUUUCUCAUUCCUUACCUUGUUUUUGUUUUAUUAUUCUAUUCUCUUUUUUUCCUCGCUUUCCUUUCUCUUUUUCUAGUUACCUUCUUUCCAUACGUGACCACCCCCACUCCCAUAAAAUUUUCUUUUUUAUUUACCAAAUCUAAAAUUAUUGUUUAGUUUGGGUUAUGCAAGAAGAAUAUAAUCAUCAAUGGUAGGAUCUGUUGUUAAUAUGGUGGACCCAGUGACGAAUGCUUUGCAAAAUUUAGCGAGAAAAAAUUGAUUUUGAUGGUCGGAAAACUUUUUGGUGAGGGACUUCCUUCACAACCUGGUUAUUUUUCUUGCAAAUUUAUGGACCGAUAGUAGGAAAAUUUUCUACAAGUAAUGAAUUUCACAAAUUUAUUUACAUUUUAAAUCAUUUAGAAUGAACUUGCAAUUACUGAGUUUUUAAAAUAAUUUUUGUCUUCUUAAAAAGCUAGUUAAUUAUGCUUCAAUGGUGUUUUCAUGGCUUACUGUUGAUUUUGAAAUCGGGUGUAGGGUGGCCUCUUUGUGGAUUAUGUCAGUAGGGGGAGGGAGUUGCUAUAUCUGGCUUCUGGUAGUGGCAGAGAAAUUUGGGAGUUGUGAUGCGGUGGUGACAUCGGCCAUGUUGCUAAUUGGGUAGAGGAAGAAAACAAAAUUAAGAAAAGAAAAAGUAAGAAAAAUUAAAAACAUGUAUAUAUUUAAUAAAAGGCGAUUUAAAUAUAAAAUUUUAGCAUUUAUUUUUGUUGUUCAUUCUCUUUUAAGGGAGUGAAAUAUAAUACACUCACUUUGCCGUACAAGCAUUUAGGGAGGUAAAAACUUCAUUUUAAAAUAGUUCAAGAGGGUAAUAGUACUACCCAAAAGGAAAGGUAUGUGAUUGAAACUUCGGUCACAGGUUGGAAGGUACACUUGUACAUUUUCCCAACUCUAUACUCUCUGAUAUGAAUGAUUGAAUAUGCAUUUGCAGUUCAAGUUUUUAUAAUCUGCUAGUACAACUGAGUUCCAAGUCUAUAAUCUAUAAAAAUUCACACCAAUAACUGUUGACCUAAGUUCAGGUGAAAUUUUGAAGAAUGACAAAUGAACUCAGUCAUGGACCGGUCCAUCAUGUGAGGCACAAUAUUUAUCAACCUAGGCAUGUGAGAUACACGUGAAGGGGAUAAGUCUCUGUGGUCGAGCAGUAAUAUCUUCUGAACCGAUCGAAAAUUUUGCAUAUUGGAUGAGGAGAGAAAGUCUCCUCAUGGGAAGAGUACACAAUCUGGAUAAAGGAUAGGGUUGGAGUUUGUGUUGUUCAAGGACUCAACUUCGAUGGAAAAUCAGCAAAUAGUCUCAAUCAAACUCUAUUUACUAACUCAUUAAAUAACAAUGAUUGUUCUCUUUUACAGGUAUUGCACAUAUGCAUAAGUUAAACCAAAUUGAGAGCAAAAGAUCAAGGCAAUUUUUCAAGCAAUUUAUGUGAGAUUUAAGUGAGCACUCCUGAAGCUACUUGAACGACAUGGAAGAACUAGUUCCAUUGUGUUUAUUCUUAUUCUAGUUCAAUUGUAGUAGGUGGUUUGGAGUUGUACCUUUUCAGCUUUCAUAAAAGCAUUUGUAAUAUUUUCUUUGAGUGGUAAAGUUAUAUGCUAACUUCAAGGUAUCGCAAUAGUUGAGGUUGUUUGCGACACAUGUAUUGGAGUUAAUCCUUAUGUUUACAAAGAGUUUUGUAAAUGCUAUUUUGGCUCAGCGAUAUUAGUAAAACUUUGGGAAAAA
RNAcentral lists this long non-coding RNA (2082 nucleotides) under Nicotiana benthamiana. RNAcentral's name for it is "long non-coding RNA (NBEN_LNC014946)". Lineage: Eukaryota; Viridiplantae; Streptophyta; Magnoliopsida; Solanales; Solanaceae. The record is from RNAcentral.